UACGUAGGGGGCAAGCGUUGUCCGGAAUCAUUGGGCGUAAAGCGCGUGUAGGCGGUCCGGUAAGUCCGCUGUGAAAGUCGGGGGCUCAACCCUCGGAUGCCGGUGGAUACUGUCGGGCUUGAGUACGGAAGAGGCGAGUGGAAUUCCUGGUGUAGCGGUGGAAUGCGCAGAUAUCAGGAGGAACACCUAUAGCGAAGGCAGCUCGCUGGUACGACACUGACGCUAAGGCGCGAAAGCGUGGGGAGCGAACAGG
This 253-nucleotide ribosomal RNA is filed under the name uncultured bacterium. RNAcentral describes it as "partial 16S ribosomal RNA". It matches the Rfam family "Bacterial small subunit ribosomal RNA", at positions 524 to 776 of the family's 1533-position model. The record is from RNAcentral.